AACGGGAGAAGUGCUUCACUGUGGAGAUCAGAGUUCCUGAGGGAAAGAAGAACCCAUCAAAUCCCCCUCAGGAGCUAUUUUUCAGGAGGAUCCCUUGGGAAGAUCAAAGUCAGGACACCUCAGGAGAG
This is a non-coding RNA of Pseudonaja textilis, 128 nucleotides long. Lineage: Eukaryota; Metazoa; Chordata; Lepidosauria; Squamata; Elapidae. The record is from RefSeq and is a predicted model, not a curated record.